CCUACGGGAGGCAGCAGUGAGGAAUAUUGGUCAAUGGCCGAGAGGCUGAACCAGCCAAGUAGCGUGAGGGAAGACGGCCCUACGGGUUGUAAACCUCUUUUAUCGGGGAGCAAAGCGAACCACGUGUGGUUAUUUGAGUGUACCCGAAGAAAAAGCAUCGGCUAACUCCGUGCCAGCAGCCGCGGUAAUACGGAGGAUACGAGCGUUAUCCGGAUUUAUGGGGUUUAAAGGGUGCGCAGGCGGAGGUGCAAGUCAGCGGUAAAAUUGAGGGGCUCAACCCCGUACUGCCGUUGAAACUGAAGCCCUUGAGUGCGCGAGAAGUAUGCGGAAUGCGUGGUGUAGCGGUGAAAUGCAUAGAUAUCACGCAGAACUCCGAUUGCGAAGGCAGCAUACCAGCGCGCAACUGACGCUCAUGCACGAAAGCGUGGGUAUCGAACAGGAUUAGAUACCCCUGUAGUC
Molecule: ribosomal RNA, 459 nt
Filed under: uncultured bacterium
Lineage: Bacteria
Description: partial 16S ribosomal RNA
Rfam family: Bacterial small subunit ribosomal RNA
Source: RNAcentral